GCAAGUAUGUACGAGUAUAGUACCUAUUCGUAUAAUGAACCAUAAAUAAACACGAGCAAAACGUCGAAGAAUGGAAACUGACCUAGGUAAAAACCAUGCGGAAACGUGCGGUCCGCACAACUACUCGUACGAUGAUGGUCAUUCUGUACAAAACUGGAGGUGGCGCGACAAUGUUGUUUCUUCUUCCGAAAAAUGUCUCACAACCGAGAAAAGUUCUACUUGCAUAAUAAUCGAGUUCAACGAACCGAAUGUAAACGUAGCCUUAGCGAUCAGUGCGCCACUAAAUUGCCGCUCGAGUUUCGCCUUCCUAUCAAAUAUUCAUAACAAAAAAGGCAUUUUUUUUUUUUUCGUAAACGAGUUCGCGUAGUGCGUUCAUCAGGGUCAACGAGUUAAUCUACACUGAAACUCCUUGGCGUGUAAUUUGUUUACUUCCCGUUGCAGAGCAGUGCUUUUGAUUUCAUUGCAGAGCUUUAUCAGUUUCAUGAAAAUACGAGUGCUAGCGUAAACGAUCGUCCAGUGAGAUCUAUCAGUGCUCAGAUCUGCUACCUGGUUGCUUAAUUUCUCAAGUUUUUGUACAUUGAAGUGUAUCUUGUUGUCGAACGAAAGCCCAUCAUCGAUCAUGGAGCCAGAAUGGAGAAUUUUUAUAGCUUAUUUUUGCUCAGUUGCGGGGUAAAUUGGUAGCGCACAUAUGGCUGCGAAUUCAUCAAAUGUGACGUGCCUCAAGUUAUUACGCUUAUUAGCAUGUAGCUCUAUUUAUAGUUUUAAAUUAAGAACCUACUCGAUAAUUAAUCAGCUUUAAACACGAUGUCGUUUAUGAAUAAAGAUCGUAACCUAGUUAAA
Planococcus citri (citrus mealybug) is the source of this 840-nucleotide long non-coding RNA. RefSeq lists it as uncharacterized. The transcript is spliced from 2 exons. The record is from RefSeq and is a predicted model, not a curated record. NCBI's taxonomy places the organism in Eukaryota, Metazoa, Arthropoda, Insecta, Hemiptera, Pseudococcidae.